CGCGUGAGAAUCUGCCUUCAGGUCUGGGACAACAGAAGGAAACUUCUGCUAAUCCCGGAUGAGCCUAUUGGUAAAAGAUUAAUNUGCCUGAAGAUGAGCUCGCGUCUGAUUAGCUAGUUGGUGUGGUAAAGGCAUACCAAGGCAACGAUCAGUAGCUGGUCUGAGAGGAUGAGCAGCCACACUGGGACUGAGACACGGCCCAGACUCCUACGGGAGGCAGCAGUGGGGAAUUUUCCGCAAUGGGCGAAAGCCUGACGGAGCAAGACCGCGUGGGGGAGGANAGGCUCUAGGGUUGUAAACCCCUUUUCUUUGGGAAGAAGUUCNUGACGGUACCAAAGGAAUCAGCCUCGGCUAACUCCGUGCCAGCAGCCGCGGUAAUACGGAGGAGGCAAGCGUUAUCCGGAAUGAUUGGGCGUAAAGCGUCCGCAGGUGGCCAUGUAAGUCUGCUGUCAAAACCCAGGGCUCAACUCUGGUCAGGCAGUGGAAACUACGUAGCUAGAGUCUGGUAGGGGCAAAGGGAAUUCCCGGUGUAGCGGUGAAAUGCGUAGAGAUCGGGAAGAACAUCGGUGGCGAAAGCGCUUUGCUAGACCAGAACUGACACUCAGGGACGAAAGCUAGGGGAGCGAAUGGGA
This 632-nucleotide ribosomal RNA is filed under the name Blennothrix cantharidosma MOR114. RNAcentral describes it as "bacterial SSU rRNA". It matches the Rfam family "Bacterial small subunit ribosomal RNA", at positions 114 to 777 of the family's 1533-position model. Lineage: Bacteria; Bacillati; Cyanobacteriota; Cyanophyceae; Oscillatoriales; Microcoleaceae. The record is from RNAcentral.